CGGAGCUAACGCGUUAAGUCGACCGCCUGGGGAGUACGGCCGCAAGGUUAAAACUCAAAUGAAUUGACGGGGGCCCGCACAAGCGGUGGAGCAUGUGGUUUAAUUCGAUGCAACGCGAAGAACCUUACCUGGUCUUGACAUCCACGGAAGUUUUCAGAGAUGAGAAUGUGCCUUCGGGAACCGUGAGACAGGUGCUGCAUGGCUGUCGUCAGCUCGUGUUGUGAAAUGUUGGGUUAAGUCCCGCAACGAGCGCAACCCUUAUCCUUUGUUGCCAGCGGUCCGGCCGGGAACUCAAAGGAGACUGCCAGUGAUAAACUGGAGGAAGGUGGGGAUGACGUCAAGUCAUCAUGGCCCUUACGACCAGGGCUACACACGUGCUACAAUGGCGCAUACAAAGAGAAGCGACCUCGCGAGAGCAAGCGGACCUCAUAAAGUGCGUCGUAGUCCGGAUUGGAGUCUGCAACUCGACUCCAUGAAGUCGGAAUCGCUAGUAAUCGUGGAUCAGAAUGCCACGGUGAAUACGUUCCCGGGCCUUGUACACACCGCCCGUCACACCAUGGGAGUGGGUUGCAAAAGAAGUAGGUAGCUUAACCUUCGGGAGGGCGCUUACCACUUUGUGAUUCAUGACUGGGGUGAAGUCGUAACAAGGUAACCGUAGGGGAACCUGCGGUUGGAUCACCUCCUUACCUUAAAGAAGC
This 698-nucleotide ribosomal RNA is filed under the name Shigella flexneri. Its description in RNAcentral is "bacterial SSU rRNA". It matches the Rfam family "Bacterial small subunit ribosomal RNA", at positions 847 to 1533 of the family's 1533-position model. Lineage: Bacteria; Pseudomonadati; Pseudomonadota; Gammaproteobacteria; Enterobacterales; Enterobacteriaceae. The record is from RNAcentral.